RNAcentral lists this unclassified non-coding RNA (882 nucleotides) under Hevea brasiliensis (rubber tree). The record is from RNAcentral. Lineage: Eukaryota; Viridiplantae; Streptophyta; Magnoliopsida; Malpighiales; Euphorbiaceae.
AAAAAAAAUAAAAAAAAAAAAGGAAGAAGAAGAGAAGUGACCAUCGCAGACCUAGACGAGCAAGGACUGAAAGAAGAAGAAGAAGAAGAUCAAACCUGGCUUACUGCUCUGCUUCCCAGUGAUGCAGGUAUUUAUUUUUUUAUUUUUUAUUUUUCUUCUUCCUUCUUCUGAUCUUCUCUUGCCAGCCCAACUGGGUUUCUUUUCUUUUCUAUACUUUCUUUACCUGAAUUCAUGUGUCAUGCUGUCCUUUUUUUCUUGCCCACAUACUAUUUUGUUUGGUUGCCGACAACAAUGCUUCUGUGCUAUUGCUAAUUCUUUUGCAUGCAUGCCAAUUUUUUAAACAAAUUUUAAAAAUUUUGCACAAACUAUUAUUGUUUUACCUGUUUAAGACUGUUAAAAAUUUUAAAUUGUUAUUUUUUACAGAAAAUUUUUUAAUUGCUGUCAUUGAAUGGUAAUAUUCAGAUCUGCUAAUUCUAAUUUGGAAAACUUAUAAUAAAAAUAAUUAAGAUGAAACAAUUGUAUGAUUUAUCUACUUAACUACUUUGUCACAAUAGUGAUUACACAUAAUUUUAUAUCCUUUAUUUCAUUUACAUAACUUAUCCACAACGUAUCCUAGUAGCCGUGUCUAAAUUUCGAUCCAUAUCCCCCUAUUUAGAAAGUUUACAAAUCUAACACAUGGAUCCAUUUCCGAUAUCCAUACCUAAGUGUGAGUAACAUCGAUAAAAGUCUACAAAAUACCUAGAGAAUAUACAAAUUUAUAGUAGAAUUUAAUCCUACUAGUAUUAGGAUUUGGAAUCCCAAACAAGAAAAUUACUAAUUACGAAAAUUAAACAAAUUCAAACUUCUGAAACAAAAGACACACUACUUCCUAAAUUUCUUCCU